This 64-nucleotide transfer RNA is filed under the name Perotis lugubris. RNAcentral's name for it is "tRNA-Phe". Lineage: Eukaryota; Metazoa; Arthropoda; Insecta; Coleoptera; Buprestidae. The record is from RNAcentral.
ACUUAAAUAGCUUAUUAAGAGCAUAAUAUUGAAGAUAUUAAGGAGAUAAUAUUAUCUUUAAGUA